This 401-nucleotide unclassified non-coding RNA is filed under the name soil metagenome. RNAcentral describes it as "partial contains 5.8S ribosomal RNA, internal transcribed spacer 2, and large subunit ribosomal RNA". The stretch from base 1 to 121 matches the Rfam family "5.8S ribosomal RNA", at positions 35 to 154 of the family's 154-position model. The record is from RNAcentral.
GAUGAAGAACGUAGCGAAAUGCGAUAAGUAAUGUGAAUUGCAGAAUUCAGUGAAUCAUCGAAUCUUUGAACGCACCUUGCGCCCUUUGGCUAUUCCGAAGGGCAUGCCUGUUUGAGUAUCGUGAACACCUCAACUCUCAUGGUUUGCCAUGAUGAGCUUGGACUUUGGGGGUUUUGCUGGCCUUUGGUCGGCUCCUCUCAAACGGAUCAGCUUUCCAGUGUUGGUGGCGUCACGGGUGUGAUAACUAUCUACGCCUGUGGUUUUCUGCCAGAUAACCUUCAGCGAUGGAGGUUCGCUGGGGCUCAUAAAUGUCUCUCUUCAGUGGAGACAGCUUUUUGGACGUUUGAUCUCAAAUCAGGUAGGACUACCCGCUGAACUUAAGCAUAUCAAUAAGCGGAGGA